RNAcentral lists this ribosomal RNA (468 nucleotides) under uncultured bacterium. RNAcentral's name for it is "partial 16S ribosomal RNA". It matches the Rfam family "Bacterial small subunit ribosomal RNA", at positions 28 to 507 of the family's 1533-position model. The record is from RNAcentral.
GACGAACGCUGGCGGCGUGCUUAACACAUGCAAGUCGAACGGAAAGGCCCUGCUUUUGUGGGGUGCUCGAGUGGCGAACGGGUGAGUAACACGUGAGUAACCUGCCCUUGACUUUGGGAUAACUUCAGGAAACUGGGGCUAAUACCGGAUAGGAGCUCCUGCUGCAUGGGGGGGGUUGGAAAGUUUCGGCGGUUGGGGAUGGACUCGCGGCUUAUCAGCUUGUUGGUGGGGUAGUGGCUUACCAAGGCUUUGACGGGUAGCCGGCCUGAGAGGGUGACCGGCCACAUUGGGACUGAGAUACGGCCCAGACUCCUACGGGAGGCAGCAGUGGGGAAUAUUGCACAAUGGGCGGAAGCCUGAUGCAGCAACGCCGCGUGCGGGAUGACGGCCUUCGGGUUGUAAACCGCUUUCGCCUGGGACGAAGCGUGAGUGACGGUAAUGGGUAAAGAAGCACCGGCUAACUACGUG